Molecule: ribosomal RNA, 660 nt
Filed under: uncultured archaeon
Lineage: Archaea
Description: bacterial SSU rRNA
Rfam family: Archaeal small subunit ribosomal RNA
Source: RNAcentral
CCAGUGUAGAACGCGCCCGACGGUGAGGGACGAAAGCUGGGGGAGCGAACCGGAUUAGAUACCCGGGUAGUCCCAGCCGUAAACGAUGCGGGCUAGGUGUUGGAGCGGCUACGGGCCGCUUCAGUGCCGCAGGGAAACCAUUAAGCCCGCCGCCUGGGGAGUACGGCCGCAAGGCUGAAACUUAAAGGAAUUGGCGGGGGAGCACCACAAGGGGUGAAGCUUGCGGUUUAAUUGGAGUCAACGCCGGGAAACUUACCGGGGGCGACAGCAGGAUGAAGGCCAGAUUGAAGGUCUUGCUGGACGAGCUGAGAGGAGGUGCAUGGCCGUCGCCAGUUCGUGCCGUGAGGUGUCCUGUUAAGUCAGGCAACGAUCGAGACCCACGCCCCCUGUUGCCACCGAGGAGGUUCUCCAAGGGGCACUCUGGGNAAACCGCCGCCGAUAAGGCGGAGGAAGGAGUGGGCCACGGCAGGUCAGUAUGCCCCGAAUCCCCCGGGCCACACGCGAGCUGCAAUGGCUGGGACAGAGGGUUCCAACCUCGAGAGGGGAAGGUAAUCCCUAAACCCAGCCGUAGUUGGGAUCGAGGGCUGAAACUCGCCCUCGUGAACAUGGAAUCCCUAGUAAUCGCGNGUCAUCAUCGCGCGGUGAAUACGUCCCUGCUCC